GGUUUACAAGUGAAUUCGAGAACGCCUUAUGUGAAAAAGCGAUGGUGAUUUCCCACGUCUCAGGUGGUUAGUCUUGAGAUGUUAUUAGUUGGAAAAGUUCCCUUGGUGUUCAAAAAAAAAAAAUUGAACCUGCGGUGAAUUAAGUUGGAUUGGUGUGGCACUUCCUUUGUUGCUUUUGCUAAGCAGAUUCAAGACUGGGCAAGUUGAAAUGGGAAACUGAAAAUUUGAGAUAAUUAAAAGUUACAAAUGAAUUGGUUCCUCAUCAACUGAUCUUCAAUUCAAAACUCAAGUUUCUUGUUUGAUGCUUUUCUCCCCUUGUAAGGUCAUUAAAGAUGACUUAGGCCCAAUUUCACCAAUGGAUGGUGCAGUAUUAAUCCCAUGAUUUUGGAUAAUCCCUCUGUAACUCUUCAAAUUGGUCUAUGUUUCUUUCCUACGGAAGAAGUUGAGAUUGAGUGGGCUUAAUCUAUCCCUCUGAGAGGCAUUUAACAGCUUAAAGGUGCUCAAGCUAGAAAGCGCCUUCCAUUUAAAAGUGCUUUUGUCUGAGAUUCUGUUAUUGUCGCGAAGAGAUUCCUAAGAGUUCUGUAGAUAUU
Ipomoea triloba (trilobed morning glory) is the source of this 590-nucleotide long non-coding RNA. RefSeq lists it as uncharacterized. The record is from RefSeq and is a predicted model, not a curated record. The transcript is spliced from 5 exons. Lineage: Eukaryota; Viridiplantae; Streptophyta; Magnoliopsida; Solanales; Convolvulaceae.